CGCGUAGGCGGCUGAUUAAGUCGGGUGUGAAAGCCCCGGGCUCAACCUGGGAAUUGCAUUCGAUACUGGUCGACUAGAGUACGGGAGAGGGAGGUAGAAUUCCACGUGUAGCGGUGAAAUGCGUAGAUAUGUGGAGGAAUACCAGUGGCGAAGGCGGCCUCCUGGCCUGGUACUGACGCUGAGGUGCGAAAGCGUGGGGAGCAAACA
Molecule: ribosomal RNA, 207 nt
Filed under: uncultured bacterium
Lineage: Bacteria
Description: partial 16S ribosomal RNA
Rfam family: Bacterial small subunit ribosomal RNA
Source: RNAcentral